UCACAACAACACCCUGCAAACUCCUCCUAUUUCUUUUCAACUUUAUGGGAAGUUUAGAUGCUUUCCCGGCCUGUGUUAUUUCAUCUUCUGCAUUUCAAUAGAAAAGGGGACCUGGAACACUGCUGGAAAUGAAAAUGGUGGCUAAAUCCAUUAGCAAAAGAUUCCUACCACAGGAGUUCUUGAAAACUCUCUGUAGCAUACCACAUGGAAACGGCA
Molecule: non-coding RNA, 216 nt
Organism: Pogona vitticeps (central bearded dragon)
Lineage: Eukaryota; Metazoa; Chordata; Lepidosauria; Squamata; Agamidae
Source: RefSeq, a predicted model, not a curated record